CUGCAGGAGACCCAGAAUCAAUAGUGAAUCAGUAGAUUGUACUUUAAAAUUGUUCUGGGAAACUCGGAUGUAGAGUACGUCUGCUGGUAGCAACAGAGACGUACAGGGUUGUAAUGAGAGGGACCCGAGACCCAGAAAUAAAAUUCCAACAAUCUAUGGUGACCAAGACGUGUUGCAAGAGAGGUAAAAGAAGUCCGGGACUUCGAGAAAAACCACGAGUCUGGGACUCGGGUCAGGGACCCACGUCCACACCAGGUGACGACCUGACAAAGGAGCCACGUGUCCGAGCGUCUUUCCUCUUGGGCCCACAGUGAAACAAGCUUGAGUUUUGACAAACGCCGCACUCAAGCCAAACUGUCCGUCCUGGUCAUCCUGGGCCGGCAUGGAUUGUAGCCACUGGUGGUAGUAACCACGGAAGCCAUCGAUCUGGAUUAGGUAGUUGUUGCGGGACUUGUACU
This is a long non-coding RNA of Syngnathoides biaculeatus (alligator pipefish), 458 nucleotides long. RefSeq lists it as uncharacterized. The transcript has 3 exons. NCBI's taxonomy places the organism in Eukaryota, Metazoa, Chordata, Actinopteri, Syngnathiformes, Syngnathidae. The record is from RefSeq and is a predicted model, not a curated record.